GACGAACGCUGGCGGCGUGCCUAAUACAUGCAAGUAGAACGCUGAAGGAGGAGCUUGCUUCUCUGGAUGAGUUGCGAACGGGUGAGUAACGCGUAGGUAACCUGCCUGGUAGCGGGGGAUAACUAUUGGAAACGAUAGCUAAUACCGCAUAAGAGUAGAUGUUGCAUGACAUUUGCUUAAAAGGUGCAAUUGCAUCACUACCAGAUGGACCUGCGUUGUAUUAGCUAGUUGGUGGGGUAACGGCUCACCAAGGCGACGAUACAUAGCCGGCCUGAGAGGGUGAUCGGCCACACUGGGACUGAGACACGGCCCAGACUCCUACGGGAGGCAGCAGUAGGGAAUCUUCGGCAAUGGACGGAAGUCUGACCGAGCAACGCCGCGUGAGUGAAGAAGGUUUUCGGAUCGUAAAGCUCUGUUGUAAGAGAAGAACGAGUGUGAGAGUGGAAAGUUCACACUGUGACGGUAUCUUACCAGAAAGGGACGGCUAACUACGUG
RNAcentral lists this ribosomal RNA (495 nucleotides) under uncultured bacterium. Its description in RNAcentral is "partial 16S ribosomal RNA". It matches the Rfam family "Bacterial small subunit ribosomal RNA", at positions 28 to 507 of the family's 1533-position model. The record is from RNAcentral.